GAGUUUGAUCCUGGCUCAGGACGAACGCUGGCGGCGUGCCUAAUACAUGCAAGUCGAGCGGAC
Molecule: ribosomal RNA, 63 nt
Filed under: Geobacillus sp. B4113_201601
Lineage: Bacteria; Bacillati; Bacillota; Bacilli; Caryophanales; Anoxybacillaceae
Description: partial 16S ribosomal RNA
Source: RNAcentral